This 494-nucleotide ribosomal RNA is filed under the name uncultured bacterium. RNAcentral's name for it is "partial 16S ribosomal RNA". It matches the Rfam family "Bacterial small subunit ribosomal RNA", at positions 28 to 507 of the family's 1533-position model. The record is from RNAcentral.
GACGAACGCUGGCGGCGUGCUUAACACAUGCAAGUCGAACGGUGAAGCGCCUUCCUUUUUGGUGGGUGUGGAUGAGUGGCGAACGGGUGAGUAACACGUGAGUAACCUGCCCCCUUCUUCUGGAUAACCGCAUGAAAGUGUGGCUAAUACGGGAUAUUCUGGGUCUGUCGCAUGAUGGGUCUGGGAAAGAUAUUGUUUCGGUGGGGGAUGGGCUCGCGGCCUAUCAGCUUGUUGGUGGGGUGAUGGCCUACCAAGGCGGUGACGGGUAGCCGGCCUGAGAGGGUGGACGGUCACACUGGGACUGAGACACGGCCCAGACUCCUACGGGAGGCAGCAGGGGGGAAUAUUGCACAAUGGGCGCAAGCCUGAUGCAGCGACGCCGCGUGAGGGAUGGAGGCCGUCGGGUUGUGAACCUCUUUCGCCAGUGAAGCAGGCCUGCCUCGUUUGUGGGUGGGUUGACGGUAGCUGGAUAAGAAGCGCCGGCUAACUACGUG